RNAcentral lists this ribosomal RNA (119 nucleotides) under Pseudocollinia oregonensis. RNAcentral describes it as "5.8S ribosomal RNA". It matches the Rfam family "5.8S ribosomal RNA", at positions 1 to 115 of the family's 154-position model. Rfam says of the family: 5.8S ribosomal RNA (5.8S rRNA) is a component of the large subunit of the eukaryotic ribosome. It is transcribed by RNA polymerase I as part of the 45S precursor that also contains 18S and 28S rRNA. Lineage: Eukaryota; Ciliophora; Oligohymenophorea; Apostomatida; Colliniidae. The record is from RNAcentral.
UACAAAUUUUCAACGAUGGAUAUCUUGGUUCCCAUAACGAUGAAGAACGCAGCUAAAUGCGAUAUGUAAUGUGAAUUGCAGAAUUCAGUGAAUCAUCAAAUCUUUGAACGCAACUGGCG